GACGACCGCUGGCGGCGUGCCUAAUACAUGCAAGUAGAACGCUGAAGGAGGAGCUUGCUUCUCUGGAUGAGUUGCGAACGGGUGAGUAACGCGUAGGUAACCUGCCUGGUAGCGGGGGAUAACUAUUGGAAACGAUAGCUAAUACCGCAUAAGAGUAGAUGUUGCAUGACAUUUGCUUAAAAGGUGCAAUUGCAUCACUACCAGAUGGACCUGCGUUGUAUUAGCUAGUUGGUGGGGUAACGGCUCACCAAGGCGACGAUACAUAGCCGACCUGAGAGGGUGAUCGGCCACACUGGGACUGAGACACGGCCCAGACUCCUACGGGAGGCAGCAGUAGGGAAUCUUCGGCAAUGGACGGAAGUCUGACCGAGCAACGCCGCGUGAGUGAAGAAGGUUCUCGGAUCGUAAAGCUCUGUUGUAAGAGAAGAACGAGUGUGAGAGUGGAAAGUUCACACUGUGACGGUAUCUUACCAGAAAGGGACGGCUAACUACGUG
Molecule: ribosomal RNA, 495 nt
Filed under: uncultured bacterium
Lineage: Bacteria
Description: partial 16S ribosomal RNA
Rfam family: Bacterial small subunit ribosomal RNA
Source: RNAcentral